Apis dorsata (giant honeybee) is the source of this 94-nucleotide long non-coding RNA. RefSeq lists it as uncharacterized. The record is from RefSeq and is a predicted model, not a curated record. The transcript is spliced from 3 exons. Lineage: Eukaryota; Metazoa; Arthropoda; Insecta; Hymenoptera; Apidae.
ACAACAAGACGAACCGAUCGCAUCUCGUCUCGAUCGGGACUGUCAAGAUCCGACGAUGGCGAGCAAUGAUGGCUUAAUUCAUAAACAGGAAUCG